CAAAAAAUAGUUUAGUAAAAAUACUAGUUUUGGGGACUAGAGAGGGGGGCCCGAGUCUCCUUUUUUGA
Molecule: transfer RNA, 68 nt
Filed under: Paroedura picta
Lineage: Eukaryota; Metazoa; Chordata; Lepidosauria; Squamata; Gekkonidae
Description: tRNA-Pro
Rfam family: tRNA
About the family: Transfer RNA (tRNA) molecules are approximately 80 nucleotides in length. Their secondary structure includes four short double-helical elements and three loops (D, anti-codon, and T loops). Further hydrogen bonds mediate the characteristic L-shaped molecular structure. tRNAs have two regions of fundamental functional importance: the anti-codon, which is responsible for specific mRNA codon recognition, and the 3' end, to which the tRNAs corresponding amino acid is attached (by aminoacyl-tRNA synthetases). tRNAs cope with the degeneracy of the genetic code in two manners: having more than one tRNA (with a specific anti-codon) for a particular amino acid; and 'wobble' base-pairing, i.e. permitting non-standard base-pairing at the 3rd anti-codon position.
Source: RNAcentral